Non-coding RNA from Lepisosteus oculatus (spotted gar), 463 nucleotides. The record is from RefSeq and is a predicted model, not a curated record. NCBI's taxonomy places the organism in Eukaryota, Metazoa, Chordata, Actinopteri, Semionotiformes, Lepisosteidae.
UAAACAGUGUCUCAAAAUCUCAAUGCUGAAACCUGCCGGACAGGGACCGAAAGUCAGGUUCCAGGAUGAAACCAUCCACAAAAGCUGAGAAGAACAAAGACUGCCAGCUGUGCUCCAGCCCUCCCACAGUGAGACCAGUGUGGCUAAUAGUGAAGAUGGCUGCCCACAGGAGGCCAGGUUACACUGGUGUCCACAGCUGAGUGUCAGUCAGCCGACAGUCAAGAAAGGGCUGUUUCUCGUUCACCGUAAGGGGCUGCAGGGUCACACUGUGUCUCACUGAGUCACACCCUCCACCUUCUCGAGUGGUUUCCAAAAAACAUUUCUGAUCUGUGUUCAACGGGAAGGCGCAAGUGGCUGUGUCUGAUCUUCACAGGGGAACUGCAAAGCUAUUUUUCAUAUUUCCAGGUUAGACAGAAUCUGCGAUGAUGAGUGCAUUUCCAGAAACACUAAAAGUAAAAUGUAC